GACGGAGGAUGCAAGCGUUAUCCGGAAUGAUUGGGCGUAAAGCGUCUGUAGGUGGUUUAUUAAGUCUACUGUUAAAGAUCAGGGCUUAACCCUGAGUCGGCAGUAGAAACUAAUGAGCUUGAGUACGGUAGGGGCAGAGGGAAUUCCCGGUGUAGCGGUGAAAUGCGUAGAGAUCGGGAAGAACACCAAUGGCGAAAAGCACUCUGCUGGGCCGAAACUGACACUCAGAGACGAAAGCUAGGGGGAGCGAAUGGG
This 255-nucleotide ribosomal RNA is filed under the name uncultured bacterium. RNAcentral's name for it is "partial 16S ribosomal RNA". It matches the Rfam family "Bacterial small subunit ribosomal RNA", at positions 524 to 776 of the family's 1533-position model. The record is from RNAcentral.